GACGAACGCUGGCGGCGUGCUUAACACAUGCAAGUCGAACGGUGACGAGGAGCUUGCUCCUCUGAUCAGUGGCGAACGGGUGAGUAACACGUGAGCAACCUGCCCCAGACUCUGGGAUAACAGUUGGAAACAGCUGCUAAUACCGGAUACGAGGCGGAGAGGCAUCUCUACCGUCUGGAAAGUUUUUCGGUCUGGGAUGGACUCGCGGCCUAUCAGCUAGUUGGUGAGGUAAUGGCUCACCAAGGCGACGACGGGUAGCCGGCCUGAGAGGGCGACCGGCCACACUGGGACUGAGACACGGCCCAGACUCCUACGGGAGGCAGCAGUAGGGAAUAUUGGACAAUGGGCGCAAGCCUGAUCCAGCCAUGCCGCGUGAGUGAAGAAGGCCCUCGGGUUGUAAACUUCUUUGAUCGGGGACGAAGCAGACGGUACCCGAGGAACAAGCCACGGCUAACUACGUG
RNAcentral lists this ribosomal RNA (461 nucleotides) under uncultured bacterium. RNAcentral describes it as "bacterial SSU rRNA". It matches the Rfam family "Bacterial small subunit ribosomal RNA", at positions 28 to 507 of the family's 1533-position model. The record is from RNAcentral.